CCUACGGGAGGCUGCAGUGAGGAAUAUUGGUCAAUGGGCGUAAGCCUGAACCAGCCAAGUCGCGUGAAGGAUGAAGGAUCUAUGGAUCGUAAACUUCUUUUAUAAGGGAAUAAAGUGUGGGACGUGUCCUUUUUUGUAUGUACCUUAUGAAUAAGGAUCGGCUAACUCCGUGCCAGCAGCCGCGGUAAUACGGAGGAUGCGAGCGUUAUCCGGAUUUAUUGGGUUUAAAGGGUGCGUAGGCGGCUAUUUAAGUCAGCGGUGAAAGUUUGUGGCUCAACCAUAAAAUUGCCGUUGAAACUGGGUGGCUUGAGUAUAUUUGAGGCAGGCGGAAUGCGUGGUGUAGCGGUGAAAUGCUUAGAUAUCACGCAGAACCCCGAUUGCGAAGGCAGCCUGCCAAGCCAUGACUGACGCUGAUGCACGAAAGCGUGGGGAUCAAACAGGAUUAGAUACCCUGGUAGUC
This 460-nucleotide ribosomal RNA is filed under the name uncultured bacterium. Its description in RNAcentral is "partial 16S ribosomal RNA". It matches the Rfam family "Bacterial small subunit ribosomal RNA", at positions 338 to 795 of the family's 1533-position model. The record is from RNAcentral.